This 2661-nucleotide ribosomal RNA is filed under the name human gut metagenome. Its description in RNAcentral is "bacterial LSU rRNA". It matches the Rfam family "Bacterial large subunit ribosomal RNA". The record is from RNAcentral.
AGGAAAUCAAUCUCGAGACUCCCCGAGUAGCGGCGAGCGAAAGGGGACCGAUGGCCAAACCGUCGAGCGGGCAUACCCGGCAGGGGUUCCGCCGACGGGGUUGCAGGGCCGCGCAUCCGGGGGCUGCCGCCCCCGGGCGCAGGUCCGGCUGGGGAGCGGAACGGCAUGGGAGGGCCGGCCGCAGCGGGUGACAGCCCCGUACGCGAACCCAGACCGGACGGCGCGACGCGGUCCCUGAGUAGGGCCGGGCACGUGAAACCCGGUCCGAACCUGGGUGGACCACCAUCCAAGCCUGAGUACUACCCUGUGACCGAUAGCGCACCAGUACCGUGAGGGAAAGGUGAAAAGCACCCCGGGAGGGGAGUGAAACAGUACCUGAAACCGUGCGCCCACGAGCAGUCGGAGCAACUUUACGUUGUGACGGCGUGCCUUUUGUAGAAUGAGCCAGCGAGUCGCUGGCGCGGGGCGAGGUUAACCGAAAGGGAGCCGGAGCGAAAGCGAGCCUUAACAGGGCGACUUGAGUCCCGCGCCGCGGACGCGAAGCCGGGUGAGCUAUCCGUGGGCAGGCUGAAGCGGGGGUAAGACCCCGUGGAGGGCCGAACGCACGUCGGUUGAAAACGGCGGCGAUGACCUGCGGAUAGGGGUGAAAGGCCAAUCAAACCCGGAGAUAUCUCGUUCUCCCCGAAAUAGCUUUAGGGCUAGCGUCGCGCGUUCACCGCCGGAGGUAGAGCACCGGAUGGACGAGGGGGCUUCGCCGCCUACCGAAUCCAACCGAACUCCGAAUGCCGGCGGCCCAGAGCGCGGCAGUCAGAGCAUGUGGGCUAAGCUGUGUGCUCGAGAGGGAAACAGCCCGGACCGCCCGCUAAGGUCCCCAAGUUCCAGCCGAGUGGCAAAGGAUGUGCGUCCGCCCAGACAACCAGGAUGUUGGCUUAGAAGCAGCCACUCAUUAAAAGAGUGCGUAAUAGCUCACUGGUCGAGUGACUCUGCGCCGAAAAUUUAACGGGGCUAAACUAUACACCGAAGCUUGGGAUACAUCUAAUGUAUGGUAGGAGAGCGUUCUGUAUGGGGAGAAGUCGUAGCGAAAGCGGCGGUGGACUAUACAGAAGUGAGAAUGCCGGAAUAAGUAGCGAGAAUUAAGUGAGAAUCUUAAUGGCCGAAAGUCUAAGGUUUUUGGAGGAAGGUUCGUCCGCUCCAAGUAAGUCGGGAGCUAAGGUCAGGCCGAAAGGCGUAGCCGAUGCACAUACGGUUGAUAUUCCGUAACCAUCUGUAAUUUAAGCAAAGGGACACUUCAAAAGGGUGUGACCCGGGCGUUGGUUGACCCGGGCGUAAGGGACCGAAAUUAGAGUAGGGAAGCACACUUAGCUGAAGGCGAGAAAAGCUUUGCGUAUAGAAACAGAUGCCCGUACCGCAAACCGACACAGGUGGACAGGAAGAGAAUUCUAAGGCCAGCGGGAGAAGGGUAGUUAAGGAACUCGGCAAAUUGACUCCGUAACUUCGGAAUAAGGAGUGCUCGAAAGAGCCGCAGAGAAUAGGCCCAGGCGACUGUUUAGCAAAAACACAGGUCUCUGCCAAAUCGAAAGAUGAAGUAUAGGGGCUGACACCUGCCCGGUGCCGGAAGGUUAAGAGGAGGAGUGAGAGCUCCGAAUUGAAGCCCCGGUAAACGGCGGCCGUAACUAUAACGGUCCUAAGGUAGCGAAAUUCCUUGUCGGGUAAGUUCCGACCCGCACGAAUGGUGUAACGAUCUGGGCACUGUCUCAACUACCCACCCGGCGAAAUUGUAGUACCGGUGAAGAUGCCGGUUACCUGCGGCAAGACGGAAAGACCCCAUGGAGCUUUACUGUAGCCUGAUAUUGGGUUUCGGAAAUCUAUGUACAGGAUAGGCGGGAGACUGGGAAACAUGAGCGUCAGCUUGUGUGGAGUCGAUGUUGGGAUACCGCCCUUAGGUUUCUGGAAUUCUAACCUGCGGCCGUGAAACCGGUCGGGGGACAUUGUCAGGUGGGCAGUUUGACUGGGGCGGUCGCCUCCGAAAAGGUAACGGAGGCGCUCAAAGGUUAGCUCAGCACGGACGGAAACCGUGCCUCUGAGUGUAAACGCAAAAGCUAGCCUAACUGCGAGGGUGACGGCCCGAGCAGUAACGAAAGUUGGAGUUAGUGAUCCGGCGGUAUGUGAAUGGAAAUGCCGUCGCUCAACGGAUAAAAGCUACCCUGGGGAUAACAGGCUGAUCUCCCCCAAGAGUCCACAUCGACGGGGAGGUUUGGCACCUCGAUGUCGGCUCAUCACAUCCUGGGGCUGUAUUCGGUCCCAAGGGUUCGGCUGUUCGCCGAUUAAAGUGGUACGCGAGCUGGGUUCAGAACGUCGCGAGACAGUUCGGUCCCUAUCUGUCGUGGGCGCAGGAUAUUUGAGGAGCUCUGUCCUUAGUACGAGAGGACCGGGAUGGACGUACCUCUGGUGCACCAGUUGUCAUGCCAAUGGCACGGCUGGGCAGCUAUGUACGGAACGGAUAAACGCUGAAAGCAUCUAAGCGUGAAGCCGACUCCAAGAUUAGAUAUCCCAUCGUAUAACGAGUAAGACCCCUUGAAGACUACGAGGUUGAUAGGCUGCGUGUGUAAGUGCCGUGAGGCAUUCAGCUUGGCAGUACUAAUAGGUCGAGGGCUUGACCAC